Molecule: long non-coding RNA, 1163 nt
Organism: Mugil cephalus (flathead mullet)
Lineage: Eukaryota; Metazoa; Chordata; Actinopteri; Mugiliformes; Mugilidae
Exons: 3
Source: RefSeq, a predicted model, not a curated record
UUGAAGCCGAUAACACACUGUGUAUUAACCCAACUACUGCCCCUCCCACUAGUUUGGCCUAUUUACCACUAAUAGUUGGUGUAUCCUCAGCCCUGGUCAUUGUCUUGGUUGUGGUCUUAUCAGUCAUCUGGGCUCAGAGGAAAAAGCAAAGAAACAACAAACCUAAAGAUGUAGAAAUUGACCAGGAAUUAACCUACGCUAAUGUUAGUGCAAUGCAGCAGCAGGCUGAGCAAAGGCCGAAUGUGGAGGGGAAAUAUGGUCAAGUCAAGUUUUCAGCACGACCCCAGAAGACUGAACCAACAGAAGAUGAUUGUGUGUAUGCAAAUGUAUAAAAUAAGAUGUAUAAAUAAAAUUAAAUAAAAUGAAACAGAGACAGAGGCCUCCACCACAUAAAGAGACCAGACAUGUAUUUAUUUGAGCUGUAGGAGGAAGCUGGGCCACCUGGAUAAGAUUGAUUUGUUUUAUUUUGAAUUUUUAAUUAUUGAGUUACCCUUAUAAUCAAACAUAAUACCUUUAAUGACUGCUGAACAUUACUUUGACUUUGAAUAAAACAUCUUGGCUCCUGUUAGACCAGGGCUGGCCAACCCGCGGCUCCCAAGCUGCGUGCGGCUCUUUGCCCGGUUCCAUGUGGCUCUUACGUUCAUAUCAAAGUUUCGCUUCGCUUGAGUUCAAUACGGUAUUUUCGUCCAACGUGCAUGUGCGUUGGAUGAAAAUACCUCAAAGUUUCCCAGUAGGAGCAAGAUCAUUUUGUGUCAAGUUCGCUCUCAAAAUGGCAGGGAAAAAUGCACAGCAAAACAAAAAUAUGAAGAUGAACACAGGACGUUUUUAACAAAGUGGGAGAGUUUAUAUUUUUUUGUUUAACGUAAUGGCAAACCACUCUGCCUUAUGUCAGGGGUCAUUAGCGCAUUUCAAAACUUUAAAUCUUCAACGUCACUUCAGCUCACUAAGUAAGUAGUAAGUAACAUGCAUAGUAAAAGAAAACAGCUAUUGUAAAUUAUAAUAAUUUUGUUUGUGGACUUGGUUAAACUGAGAGUUUGUCUGUGUGAGACAGUGCACACAAUGUACAUUGCUGAAAAUCACUGGCCUCUCUUUGUACUGUAGGGGCCAAUUUCUGUCAUUAUCAUGUUGGUGUGUGACAUUUACAAUAAAUCUGGCUGAGCAAA